Molecule: ribosomal RNA, 780 nt
Filed under: uncultured bacterium
Lineage: Bacteria
Description: bacterial SSU rRNA
Rfam family: Bacterial small subunit ribosomal RNA
Source: RNAcentral
CUGGCGGCGCGCUUAACACAUGCAAGUCGUACGGUGCCCUUCGCGGUUCAGUGGCGAACGGGUGCGUAACACGUGAGUGACCUGCCAUUGUGCGGGGGAUAACCCGGGGAAACCCGGGCUAAUACCGCAUGUAUUCUUUUGGCUUCAUGGCUGGGAAAAGAAAGUGUGCUUUACGGCAUCGCGCAGGGAGGGGCCCGCGGCGUAUCAGGUAGUUGGUGAGGUAACGGCUCACCAAGCCUAUGACGCGUAGGGGGUCUGAGAGAAUGGCCCCCCACAUUGGGACUGAGAUACGGCCCAGACUCCUACGGGAGGCAGCAGUGGGGAAUCUUGCGCAAUGGCCGAGAGGCUGACGCAGCGACGCCGCGUGCGGGAUGAAGCUUUUCGGAGUGUAAACCUCUGUCAGGUGGGACGAAGGUCCCGGGGAGGAAAUGCCCUGGUGAUGACGGUACCACCAAAGGAAGCACCGGCUAACUUCGUGCCAGCAGCCGCGGUAAUACGAAAGGUGCAAGCGUUGUUCGGAAUUAUUGGGCGUAAAGCGCACGUAGGCGGCCUUGUAAGUCUCACUGUGAAAGUCCGAGGCUCAACCCCGGGAUGCCAGGGGAUACUGCGAGGCUGGAGACAAGCAGGGGUUGGUAGAAUUCCGGGUGUAGCGGUGGAAUGCGUAGAGAUCCGGAGGAAUACCAGAGGCGUAGGCGGCCAACUGGGCUUGUUCUGACGCUGAGGUGCGAAAGCGUGGGGAGCGAACAGGAUUAGAUAGCCUGGUAGUCCACGCCGUAAACG